This 261-nucleotide ribosomal RNA is filed under the name uncultured archaeon. RNAcentral describes it as "partial 16S ribosomal RNA". It matches the Rfam family "Archaeal small subunit ribosomal RNA", at positions 748 to 1008 of the family's 1478-position model. The record is from RNAcentral.
CAGCCGUAAACAAUGUGCGUUAGGUGUGUCGGUAACCACGCGUUACUGAUGCGCCGAAGAGAAAUCGUGAAACGCACCACCUGGGAAGUACGGUCGCAAGGCUGAAACUUAAAGGAAUUGGCGGGGAGGCACCACAACAGGUGGAGCCUGCGGUUUAAUUGGAUUCAACGCCGGACAUCUCACCGGAUAAGACAGCUGAAUGAUUGUCAAUCUGAAGGUUUUACAUGACUAGCUGAGAGGUGGUGCAUGGCGUCAGUGACU